GACGAACGCUGGCGGCGUGCUUAACACAUGCAAGUCGAACGGAAAGGCCCUGCUUGCAGGGUACUCGAGUGGCGAACGGGUGAGUAACACGUGGGUGAUCUGCCCUGCACUUCGGGAUAAGCCUGGGAAACUGGGUCUAAUACCGGAUAGGAGCCAUUUUUAGUGUGAUGGUUGGAAAGUUUUUUCGGUGUAGGAUGAGCUCGCGGCCUAUCAGCUUGUUGGUGGGGUAAUGGCCUACCAAGGCGGAGACGGGUAGCCGGCCUGAGAGGGUGGACGGCCACAUUGGGACUGAGAUACGGCCCAGACUCCUACGGGAGGCAGCAGUGGGGAAUAUUGCACAAUGGGCGCAAGCCUGAUGCAGCGACGCCGCGUGGGGGAUGACGGCCUUCGGGUUGUAAACUCCUUUCGCUAGGGACGAAGCUUUUUGUGACGGUACCUAGAUAAGAAGCACCGGCUAACUACGUG
RNAcentral lists this ribosomal RNA (465 nucleotides) under uncultured bacterium. Its description in RNAcentral is "partial 16S ribosomal RNA". It matches the Rfam family "Bacterial small subunit ribosomal RNA", at positions 28 to 507 of the family's 1533-position model. The record is from RNAcentral.